GAACGCUGGCGGCGUGCUUAACACAUGCAAGUCGAACGAGACGAUUUAGAAGCUUGCUUUUAUUGAGUCGAGUGGCAAACGGGUGAGUAACGCGUAUCCAACCUUCCCGUUGCUAGGGGAUAACCUUGCGAAAGUAAGACUAAUACCCUAUGAGGUUCUUCGCAGACAUCUAAAGAGAACGAAAGAUUUAUCGGCAACGGAUGGGGAUGCGUCUGAUUAGGUUGUUGGCGGGGUAACGGCCCACCAAGCCCACGAUCAGUAGGGGUUCUGAGAGGAAGGUCCCCCACAUUGGAACUGAGACACGGUCCAAACUCCUACGGGAGGCAGCAGUGAGGAAUAUUGGUCAAUGGGCGAGAGCCUGAACCAGCCAAGUAGCGUGCAGGAUGACGGCCCUAUGGGUUGUAAACUGCUUUUAUAAGGGAAUAAAGUGAGCCUCGUGAGGCUUUUUGCAUGUACCUUAUGAAUAAGGACCGGCUAAUUCCGUG
This 485-nucleotide ribosomal RNA is filed under the name uncultured bacterium. RNAcentral's name for it is "bacterial SSU rRNA". It matches the Rfam family "Bacterial small subunit ribosomal RNA", at positions 31 to 507 of the family's 1533-position model. The record is from RNAcentral.